CGAACGGGUGAGUAAUGNGUGACCAACCUGCCCCAUGCUCCAGAAUAGCUCUUGGAAACGGGUGGUAAUGCUGGAUGCUCCAACUUGACGCAUGUCUUGUUGGGAAAGUGUUUAGUGGCAUGGGAUGGGGUCGCGUCCUAUCAGCUUGUAGGCGGGGUAAUGGCCCACCUAGGCUUCGACGGGUAGCCGGCCUGAGAGGGCGGACGGCCACAUUGGGACUGAGAUACGGCCCAGACUCCUACGGGAGGCAGCAGA
Molecule: ribosomal RNA, 255 nt
Filed under: uncultured Gardnerella sp.
Lineage: Bacteria; Bacillati; Actinomycetota; Actinomycetes; Bifidobacteriales; Bifidobacteriaceae
Description: partial 16S ribosomal RNA
Rfam family: Bacterial small subunit ribosomal RNA
Source: RNAcentral